GUCCACGCCGUAAACGAUGGGUGCUAGGUGUGGGGGGUGUCGACUCCCUCCGUGCCGAAGCUAACGCAUUAAGCACCCCGCCUGGGGGAGUACGGCCGCAAGGCUAAAAACUCAAAGGAAUUGACGGGGGCCCGCACAAGCAGCGGAGCAUGUGGUUUAAUUCGACGCGACGCGAAGAACCUUACCAAGGCUUGACAUGCACGGGAAUGUCGGAGAAAUUCGGCAGCCCUUCGGGGCUCGUGCACAGGUGGUGCAUGGCUGUCGU
RNAcentral lists this ribosomal RNA (265 nucleotides) under uncultured bacterium. Its description in RNAcentral is "partial 16S ribosomal RNA". It matches the Rfam family "Bacterial small subunit ribosomal RNA", at positions 793 to 1055 of the family's 1533-position model. The record is from RNAcentral.